UACGAAGGGGGCUAGCGUUGCUCGGAAUCACUGGGCGUAAAGCGCACGUAGGCGGAUAUUUAAGUCGGUGGUGAAAUCCUGGAGCUCAACUCCAGAACUGCCUCCGAUACUGAAUGUCUUCGAGUCCGGGAGAGGUGAGUGGAACUGCGAGUGUAGAGGUGAAAUUCGUAGAUAUUCGCAAGAACACCAGUGGCGAAGGCGGCUCACUGGCCCGGUACUGACGCUGAGGUGCGAAAGCGUGGGGAGCAAACGGG
This 254-nucleotide ribosomal RNA is filed under the name uncultured bacterium. RNAcentral describes it as "partial 16S ribosomal RNA". It matches the Rfam family "Bacterial small subunit ribosomal RNA", at positions 524 to 776 of the family's 1533-position model. The record is from RNAcentral.